CGCGGGGUGGUAGAGGGGAUUUAGACGGGUCAAAUUUCUCAUAACCUGAAGGCCGCAGGUUCAAAUCCUGCCCCCGCAACCA
Molecule: transfer RNA, 82 nt
Filed under: Rhizobium sp. Leaf202
Lineage: Bacteria; Pseudomonadati; Pseudomonadota; Alphaproteobacteria; Hyphomicrobiales; Rhizobiaceae
Also listed under: 1 other name
Description: tRNA-OTHER
Source: RNAcentral